RNAcentral lists this transfer RNA (74 nucleotides) under Pteropus alecto (black flying fox). It matches the Rfam family "tRNA". Rfam says of the family: Transfer RNA (tRNA) molecules are approximately 80 nucleotides in length. Their secondary structure includes four short double-helical elements and three loops (D, anti-codon, and T loops). RNAcentral also lists the same sequence under 1 other name. Lineage: Eukaryota; Metazoa; Chordata; Mammalia; Chiroptera; Pteropodidae. The record is from Rfam by way of RNAcentral.
GGCUCCAUAGUGUAGUGGUUAGCAUGUCUGCUUUACAUGCAGAAGGUCCUGGGUUUGCACCCCAGGUGGAGCCA